GAUGAACGCUAGCUACAGGCUUAACACAUGCAAGUCGAGGGGUAACGAUAUUGGAAGCUUGCUUCCGAUAGGCGUCGACCGGCGCACGGGUGAGUAACGCGCAUCCAACCUGCCCAUCACUUGGGGAUAACCUUGCGAAAGUAAGACUAAUACCCAAUGACGUCUCUAGAAGACAUCUGAAGGAGAUUAAAGAUUUAUCGGUGAUGGAUGGGGAUGCGUCUGAUUAGCUUGUUGGCGGGGUUACGGCCCACCAAGGCGACGAUCAGUAGGGGUUCUGAGAGGAAGGUCCCCCACAUUGGAACUGAGACACGGUCCAAACUCCUACGGGAGGCAGCAGUGAGGAAUAUUGGUCAAUGGGCGAGAGCCUGAACCAGCCAAGUAGCGUGCAGGAAGACGGCCCUAUGGGUUGUAAACUGCUUUUAUAAGGGAAUAAAGUGGGAGUCGUGACUCCUUUUGCAUGUACCUUAUGAAUAAGGACCGGCUAAUUCCGUGCCAGCCGCCGCAGUAA
RNAcentral lists this ribosomal RNA (508 nucleotides) under uncultured bacterium. RNAcentral's name for it is "partial 16S ribosomal RNA". It matches the Rfam family "Bacterial small subunit ribosomal RNA", at positions 28 to 523 of the family's 1533-position model. The record is from RNAcentral.